RNAcentral lists this unclassified non-coding RNA (261 nucleotides) under Hevea brasiliensis (rubber tree). The record is from RNAcentral. Lineage: Eukaryota; Viridiplantae; Streptophyta; Magnoliopsida; Malpighiales; Euphorbiaceae.
UCCCAUUGAACCCGAAACAUGGAUUUAGACAGAAUCAGUGACCAGAGAUAUUUUACUAUCAACCGCACACAUAAGCAUUAACCCUCUAGCUCUAUACGCGUGCUUUCUCUCUCACUCGCUCUUAGAGCACUAUAUAAAUUCGCUUCAACGCUAUCAUCCCUUCAAACGUUCAUUUUUCUGCCUUGGGGAACACCACAAACACGGACUUUAGGAAUCGUUUCGUUUCAGGAGCCCAAAUCGAAGAACAGAAGAAAGAAUGAA